Molecule: ribosomal RNA, 497 nt
Filed under: uncultured bacterium
Lineage: Bacteria
Description: partial 16S ribosomal RNA
Rfam family: Bacterial small subunit ribosomal RNA
Source: RNAcentral
GAUGAACGCUGGCGGCGUGCCUAAUACAUGCAAGUCGAGCGAACGGACGAGAAGCUUGCUUCUCUGAUGUUAGCGGCGGACGGGUGAGUAACACGUGGAUAACCUACCUAUAAGACUGGGAUAACUUCGGGAAACCGCAGCUAAUACCGGAUAAUAUUUUGAACCGCAUGGUUCAAAAGUGAAAGACGGUCUUGCUGUCACUUAUAGAUGGAUCCGCGCUGCAUUAGCUAGUUGGUAAGGUAACGGCUUACCAAGGCAACGAUGCAUAGCCGACCUGAGAGGGUGAUCGGCCACACUGGAAUUGAGACACGGUCCAGACUCCUACGGGAGGCAGCAGUAGGGAAUCUUCCGCAAUGGGCGGAAGCCUGACGGAGCAACGCCGCGUGAGUGAUGAAGGUCUUCGGAUCGUAAAACUCUGUUAUUAGGGAAGAACAUAUGUGUAAGUAACUGUGCACAUCUUGACGGUACCUAAUCAGAAAGCCACGGCUAACUACGUG